Molecule: ribosomal RNA, 408 nt
Filed under: uncultured bacterium
Lineage: Bacteria
Description: partial 16S ribosomal RNA
Rfam family: Bacterial small subunit ribosomal RNA
Source: RNAcentral
GACGAACGCUGGCGGCGUGCUUAACACAUGCAAGUCGAGCGAAGUGGCGAACGGGUGAGUAACGCGUAGUCAACCUGCCCUUGAGAGGGGGUCAACAGUGGGAAACGACUCCUAUUACCGGAUACUGCAGGGGGGGAGUGUGGCGGAUUAGCUAGGUGGAGGGGUGACGGCCCAACAAGGCGGUGAACAGUAGCCGGGCUGGGAGGAAGAACGGCCACAUUGGGACUGGGACACGGCACAGACGGCUACGGGAAGCAGCAGUGGGGAAUCGUCCGCAAUGGGCGGAAGUCUGGCGGAACAACGCCGCGGGAGUGAUGACGGCCGUCGGGUUGGGAAGGUCUGUUAAUCGGGACGCGGUACCGGAAGAAGAAGCAACGGCUAACUACGUGCCAGCAGCCGCGGUAAUUC